UGAGUGAGCCAGCAAGGUCUGGGCCUUCCUCAUCAGAUUGUUUAUGUUCUACCCCAUCGGUGUCUCUAUCACGGCCCCUCCCCUCCCAGGCGUGAUCUGCAGGCCUGAUUGCAAGCCCUGGUUUCUUCUCUGAUGUUGUUAUUGACUAUUCCACUCCUCUGACUGGGGCCACUGGGUCUCCCCACCUCACCCUUCUGCCUGCUUUCUCUCCUUCUUCCCAUCAGCUCAAUUCCACUCCACUCCAACGAUCCUAUCUGUGCCAGACACUGGGCUGAGUGCUGACAAGACAGACCUAAAUGACACAAGGGUCUUUGGCAUCACGUGUGCUAGAAUCCAGGAAAGCAAGAUCUGACCCACAAGGUCCAUCCUGGCUGGGCUGAGAGCUACGAGGCAGUGGAAAGAAUACUGCACUUGGGGUCAGACCAAGUGACCUAAUUUGAAGUCCCAGCUCUGGCUCGUGAUCUUGUGCAGACUCGUCUAACCCACACCUUCCCGCGCCACCCGGGCUGGGGUGAAGUGAGGAGCACGUGGGAUUAUGGCAGAUUCAGCAGAUCCUUUCCUGGCCCAAAGCAGCUUUGAAGAGCCAUCGUGAGCCAAUGGGCAGAGCUAAUAGUCUCCUAUCCUCGACUUGCAGGAG
Molecule: long non-coding RNA, 637 nt
Organism: Symphalangus syndactylus (siamang)
Lineage: Eukaryota; Metazoa; Chordata; Mammalia; Primates; Hylobatidae
Source: RefSeq, a predicted model, not a curated record